Molecule: small RNA, 100 nt
Filed under: Affinirhizobium rhizoryzae
Lineage: Bacteria; Pseudomonadati; Pseudomonadota; Alphaproteobacteria; Hyphomicrobiales; Rhizobiaceae
Also listed under: 1 other name
Description: ar15
Rfam family: Alphaproteobacterial ar15
Source: RNAcentral
AGCUGUCCCGGCGGCCUCCUGUCGCCCCUCAGCUGUUCCCCUCUGGAGGUUUGGUAAACCUUCAUCCUCACGGGCCCGAAGAAAUUCGAGGCCCUUUUUU